This is an RNA transcript of Erigeron canadensis, 2070 nucleotides long. It is a transcript of the gene named protein GAMETE CELL DEFECTIVE 1, mitochondrial, with no coding region annotated. The transcript has 6 exons. NCBI's taxonomy places the organism in Eukaryota, Viridiplantae, Streptophyta, Magnoliopsida, Asterales, Asteraceae. The record is from RefSeq and is a predicted model, not a curated record.
CAUUUCACAUUUUCAGACACCUCGCUUCUCUUCUGAUUCCGUCGGCCGGCGCCGCUGACAAUUGCCGACCGGAAUAGUACUAAUUCAAGACAAUCAUGGUUCACGUCUCAUGCUACUGUCGAGGUUUUCGCUCUAUGAUUAAAAGUUCAACUGCGGCAAAUCAUUUUCGGAGGUUAUCAACCAAAGCCGGUGGCGGUAGAGAUGAAUGGAACGACGCGUGGGAAACAGCAUGGCUUCCUGAAGAUUUAUCAGCAAAAAACCGAGCACCAUGGGAAACGGAUGUAAAUUUCUCUAUUUCUGAUACGCCGGAAGCUUUGGAUCCGGAAAUAAAGGCGUUUAAGGAAGAUAUGGAUGAUAAUUGGGAGCAGAGAAGAAAAAAAGGUAAGAGAGAGGAAGAAAAACAAAGACUUAUGAAGUUGAAAGAAGAAGGGAAGUCGUUGUAUAGUUUGGAGAAUGUGAAAAAGGAUUAUCGGGUUCAGAAACAAAGGGUGCAUGCGGGUUUAUGGGCUAAAGAGAUCGAAAAGAUGGAAGAGGCUAAAUUGGGUGAUUCUGUUACUGGUGAUGAUCUUGACCGGUUUCUUGACACCGCUUCCGAGAUUUUUGAGUCUGGAAGCAGUGACUUGAAUAACUCGAAAACAAAAGAUUCUUGGGAUUUGAAAAAUAAGCCUGAUGGGUGGGAAACAACAUCCAAGGGUCCAGAUGGGAACAUUUGGGAAAUGUCCCAACGAGAAGAGGAUAUUCUUCAACAAGAGUAUGAACGUCGAAUUGCCUUCAGUAAAUUCCAGAUAGCGAGCUUUAUCAAGCAACAUAUAUUUAGUCGGAGGAGACCGAUUGAUGGAUGGAAGUACAUGAUUGAAGAAUUGGGACCGAAUGCAAGAAGAGGUAAUAAGGGGAGUGUUUCAAGAACUCCUACUCUUGCCGAUCCAGCCACUCAACCGUUUCAUGAGGACAAGAUACCAGUUGCCAACAGAAACACAAAAAGAUGAUGAAUAGAGAUUUCUUGUUAUUUCUACAUACUUAUGAUAUCUCUCAAAAGGUUCAAAACGCCAGUUGUUCGAAAUGGAGCUAUUCAAUAACCAAAACUUCAAGUGUAUUAUAAUAAGCUCUUGAUCUCAAGGAUCAAGAUCCUCCGGUGGGCUAUCGACUGGUGUUAAUGGUAAAGCAGUUGGGGAUGAAGCCUGAAGGUGUGUAUCAUCGAUUGAACCAGCGGCUGAAAGCUAGUCAUCAGGUGAUGAACCCGCUCUUGGUUUUUCCCUGUUUGGUAGCAUUGAACCCAGGAUUAAGGAUAUCCAUAGUUGCAGCUGGUGGCCGACAUACAUUGGCAUUAUCAGGUAGUUGUAAUCCCACCCGUAGAUAUGGCACUCAUGAGUUUCGAUAUUCUUAAUGUAUUCUAACUUAACUGAAGUUUCAGAUAUAGGACAGGUAUGUUCUUUCAAAUAAUUGAUUGUGGCCAAGUCACAUCUUUAAUCUUUGCUCAGUUUUUAUACCUUUAAUGUUUUAGAUGAACUUUUCUAAACCGAUCACUCGAAACUUUUGCAAGACUUGGGUUUUUAGGCAUUUUCCUCGCCUAUUUUGACGUGGUUUCUCAUACUGGAUACUGCCAACUUAUCGAAGCAGGAAGCACACUCUUCAUACACCACAGUGCCUCAGGCCAUGUUGACAAUUGAUCCAAAUCGGUGGGAUUUGUACUGGCUGGCUGGCCGAGGCCUUAGAAUAGGGUUACUGCUUGAAAUUCGGUUCUGGAGAGGACCUGUUUACAGGGAUUCUUACGAUGAGGUCCUGGAAUAGGUUUAUUCAUCUGGCUGUUGCUCAUCUUGCCAUACAGACAGAAAUUCCGUUGAAGAUACAUAGCUUGGUUUUAUAUUAGAAGCUAAAAAUACCUUUGCCAAACUGAUUCUUCUGUGAAGUUACGAUGCUGUAUGGAAUCGAGGGAUUACUGUAUUCUAUUUUUUUUUCUUUCAUGAAGUGUCAACAAGGGUCUAUUCCAUUUCCUGGUCUAAACUUAUUCGCUCAUGUUCCCUUUCUCCGUGUAAAACCUAGUUUAAAAUGACAUAUAUUUUCUAUAGGGUU